AAGAGCGUCUCCGCAGACGACCACCUGGACAUGAGCCUGGACGACGGCUUGGGGACGGCGGGCGAAGGCAAACCAAGCCGUGGCAAUAAGGGCAAGCUGAAGAGGAAGUUUAGUCUGGGUUCUGCUGACCGGAAGGAGAAUCAGCAGAAGAAGUUAGAGUCGGGGAUCUCCAAAUUUACCCAUCGUCUGUCCCUCAAAGAGCGUCCGGCCAAGACAGAGAAGACCUCCUCGGACAGACCUCCAUCAUAC
Molecule: long non-coding RNA, 249 nt
Organism: Pleuronectes platessa (European plaice)
Lineage: Eukaryota; Metazoa; Chordata; Actinopteri; Pleuronectiformes; Pleuronectidae
Exons: 3
Source: RefSeq, a predicted model, not a curated record